This is a long non-coding RNA of Globicephala melas (long-finned pilot whale), 1436 nucleotides long. RefSeq lists it as uncharacterized. NCBI's taxonomy places the organism in Eukaryota, Metazoa, Chordata, Mammalia, Artiodactyla, Delphinidae. The record is from RefSeq and is a predicted model, not a curated record.
UCAGGGGCUGGGCGGCCGCCCUAGGGGCCCGCCCGAUGCGCUGAGGGAAAAUGCUGGAGCGCGGGCCCCCACGGGCCCACGGGGAGGCGAAGGGCAGAAGCGGGGGCCUUUCGAGCCAGGCUGAGCCUGAGUGCAAGCUCUGUCCCUCAAGCUCAGGACUAGGCGCUUUUGGGCGCAAAGCGAGUCGCCCACAGAACUCGCGCGCUGGAGGAGACCUGAGUCUGGGAGGGGAGAGAUUUGGAGAAACCGCAUCUCAGCUCCACGAAGGCAGUGGUUUUUGUCUGUUCUCUGCUGUAUUCCCAGUGCCUGAAAUGUGGUUGGCAGGAAACUUUCGUUUUGGCCACACGUGAACGUGUGGGCACGCAGGCGUGUGUGUGCGUCUCUGUGUGUGCAUGCACUGGAUCUUUAUGCAAAGGAUGUAUGGGAACCACAGAAAGUUUUCCUACUUGGAUCUAUUAACUGCAGGACGGGCAACCUUCACAUGGCCACAGCCUGUCGUAACAAACUGGGGGCAGGGGGCACAAUUCCAUCCAUAAUGCAAAUCCAGCUGUGGCUGUCUGGAAGGUCCUGCCCACGGACUGGGCAGACAGGAUACCCGUUAUGUGGCCUCUGAGCUGGGGCUGCUGCUACACACAACAGAGUUCGCACCAGCCCUUGAUGAGGUCAAAGAUUACAUCAGUUGCAGCUUUGCCUGGAAAACAGUACACUGCUCUACAGCUUUCUCCUGCCCUUCUGGUGUCAUGAACCUCCUGCCUCGGGAAAGCUCUGAAAGAGGGGUGUCUACAGUUCACAAGGGCUUCCCAAAUCGAGGGACUCUAACAAACUCUCCAAAAUCUCCUCACUGUGCUUCUCUUUGUUCGGAAGAGAGCAUCUGGAUGACAUGUGGAUUCUUCAGCUCCAAGCACAUGGCUGGAACAGGAGAUGCCAACAGCCAAGUCCAGGAGAUUCUUCUUACGCAGUAAGUCACGGGACGGGCCUGUGAACCAUCUGCCAUUAGAGAGAGAGGAGCUGAAAAGAAAUCCUGUGUAGAUUAGAGGCUGUCUCCUUCUGUCUCUUAAACAAGCACAACUUGGAUUCGAACUGCAGUAUGAACAAGAGAGGAUUUCAAGGUGCUGAACAUCUAAUCUCAAGGGAUUCGAGGUGGUUGACUUCCUAUCGUGUGCGCUGUGGUGGAUGCUACGGAGGCGUUAUCCGACUUGAUCAUCGUGGCCUCCGUCCCUAUUUUACAGGUAAGUACACCCGGGCUGCAAGAGGCUGGCUGAUUUUCCUGCGGCCGCACAGCUGGUGAGCAGCAAACUAGGAUUUGUACCUUCGUCCUGCCCAACUCAGAGUACAUGCUGUUCUACUACAUCAAGCAUUUAACGUUCUGAGAUGCUGAGAUUCUGUGCUUCGGUGAUCCUGUGACAAUGAUUCUAAGGUUGCCGCGUUUGAAGACU